CAUUUACAAACCAACUUAUCGAUCCAGCGCGUGGAAACAUUUUGGCUUUUGCAAACACGGAGGUGUUCUAAAUAAGUCGGUCGCUGUUUGUAGAAUACCAAUACAGGUUAAUUGGUUAACCCAUACAAAUGACCACUUCCUUGAACCACAGUAAAGCAGUACACUGUAAAAUGUCAUUGUUGACCUUACUUAAAAAAAUGAGUGCCCUUAACUCAUUUCUGCCGAAUUUGUUGACCAUACUAAAGGAAACUUAGUAAAGUACACUUUCUGCUCUGGAAAGUUAUGAAACUUAUGAUUUCAAGUAACGUUUACUUAAAAGAAUGUGUAUCGAAGAACUUUCCCCAAAACCCAGAGAUACUCGGCUGCACUCGGCUCUAAUACGCAUGCGCACUUGACCACCGAAGACGUGAUUUCCUUUGAAGCGGCAGCUGGAAGUGGAAAAAAAGUGCUGCUCGGUCCAGAAGGUAAGUUUCAGCUAACGUUACAUGAUCAAAUGUUACCGUUUACUGGCACCGUUCUACCUAGCAAACGUCCAUUUGCCAUAUUCUUCACCUGUUAGUUAACGUUAGUUUUGGGGGUUUAACUUUAUCUCUUCGAUUUUCAAAGCUAACGUUAGCGGUUAACAUUUAAGCUAACGUUAGCUUGACCGUCAGUGUGGAACCUUCUAGAAAUGUAAUGUUAAAUAUAACAACAACUUGCGUUUCAGAAAACUCGGAAUGCUUAUUAGCAGGUUCAAAGAUAAUUUAUGUUAAGUCAAUCUUUCAGAAACAUGUAUUAACUUGUUUAACGUCCGACAGGAGGUAGCAGUUAUCAACGUAAUAACGAUUAAACAACGGGGCCGCCUAACGCGCGCGCGUAAGCUCUCCAUCUUCCUGCAAACAAUUUCAGGGGGGCCAGAUAAAAUUAGUGAAAUGUUAAAAUCUUCCAUUAAACAGAUGGCUAGUUAGCGGUAAACGUGCUUCUACAUGGGUUAUUUACAGUUUGACUGAUUGUUUUUGUUGUUUCUUUUGCAGCUUUGCAGAACACAUGUAAAUGGAAGUGUUGGCCAGCAACUUGAGGAAUAUCUGCAACAAGUCACUCCGGCAAGUACAGAUGUUACUGGGAUGCAAACAGCAGUCCUCCGUGGCCUUCCUGUCAUCCUUGGAGAUGAGAAUACAGACUUCUUUAAGACAUGCUUUGACUCUCGAGACAUGUCUCACACCUCCAUGGGGAUCCUGACAGUGAUUGCCGAAGACGGUGCCGCCUCUCUUCACUCACUGCACCUUGAAUCCACAACUACUGCCGUCAUUUUGGAAGGAAUUAUAUUUCCCAUCAAAAUCUGCCACAUCCCAUGUGUCUGCUACCCUCAGACACCGAGGAACAUCUUAGGGUUUGUUCAUAGAGUGCUUCUCUCACUUGAACUAAAAUCCCUCAAACCCAAACUACAAUCACUCUAAAACCUACUAAUGCAGUGAGGAAUUGUCUUCAUGAUGUUUAUGGUCUGUCACAUGCUGCGUUAGAACUUCACCCUUACUCUUUACUAUGGAAAAUGUUUUGUUCAUGUUGUCCAGACAUUGUCCAUCUAUUUGUUACAAACCAUAGUCCUAAUUUUUCAUGUUGCAAGGCAUGCUAUUUUCAUAUUGUGAGUAAUUGCAUGAUUUACGCAAACGUUUAGUUCAUUCUAAUGUUUGAAUACAACAAACAAUUAACAGAACAUUGAUUCAUAUUUAAUUAAUUGCCUUUGGUCUUACAGUUAAAUUGGAUAGGACCGACUUUUUUAUCUGUGGGUGUGGUGGCAUCUUUCAAAUUCCAUUAGCAUAAGAGAGGCAAUCAGGUUAUUUUAUUGAGAUGUUAAGAUAUUGACCAAAAUGUCCACAUUUCAAAACAUGUCAUAAUUGUUUUAAUUUUUAAUCACGCUUUAGAUUAAGAAAAUAUGUGAGGAACUUCAUUAAAAAUGAACUUUGUCAUUGCAUUAUAACUGCUUGUUCAGCUUGCUUGAAAGUUUUAAGGCAAUCGGUUUCCUGAUUAUUUCUUAGUAAAGGGAAUAGUUGGAUUAGUAAAGUUAACUUUUUAUUAUUAGUACAGUUUACUAAAUAUAACUCAGAUCUUUAAGUUGUCUGAACUGACUUAUUUAUUGUCAACAUAAUUAAGCGUUUUAAGUUAACUAUACUAAUGUUUACUGCAGUUACAUGAGUUGCCUAAACUCAGUUAUUUUCAGUAUUAACAACUUAAUUAAUGAGCGACUUUACUUAGAAAUUUUGAGGCAAUCGGUUUCCUGACUUUUUUCAGUCAACUUAAAACUUAAGUCAACUUAUUACAUUUUACAGUGUACAUUAUUUGGUUUUUUAAUUGUUUUUAUGUACAAAUUGUAUGCAUGACAUGAAUAAAAACAAUGCAAACUUCUAAUUAAACGCUCUUGGUCAUUACUUCAUAUGUUACAAACAUUUCAGGAUAUAUAUAUGUACACGCGUAGAGGUGGGUGGAGAACACGGAGCACACGGACAACACGGAGGCAUGACAUUGAAGUUCCUUCAAAAAGAGGAACAAAGACUUGCUAUCCACCGUUUAUUGGGGGUGGAGAUUACAGAACAUGUGCUUUGAAUAUUUUCCAAAACGGUUGUUGUAACAAACCUGCAACACAUUGUAGGAUUUUUUUUCUUAACAUGUCUAUAAUGUGACUUGAGUAAAAUAUGUAGACAUUGUGGUACAUGAUGUAAAAGUUGUUAUUUUCUCUUAAACUUCAUGAUAGGCUGCAAGUUGUUGAGGAAAUGUAUUGUGAACAGCUCACAAGAGUUGAAUCAACAAAGAAGGAGCCAAUUUGACUUCUAUUUCUAGAAUGAUUUUGAGAAAUAGAAGUCAUUCAAAGAGUUCAAAAUUUCAUUCUUCUUCAUAUUCAGUUAGCAGGACUGUGCAAAUGGUACACUUGAAACUAAAAUUAAGAAAAUAAUGACUAGAACAUAAAGAAUUCGGAUCAGGUUUAAAUUUGCACAAAAUAACUUCGCCCCAAAGAAUCACCAGGAGACACACACACACACACACACACACACACACACACAGACACACACACACGCGUAGGCACCCCAUUGUGCUUCUCUAUUCAACAGCUGACCAGGGAAUCCUGAUCUUUCAACACAUCUGGUUCCAUGAGCAGUCCGAUCAGAGGAACUGCAAUAUUCAGAGGAUCAAGGAGCGGAUCUAAAUCACACGUCAAUGACAAGGAAGUAUACACUCAUGCAUAAUCUCAAGCUAUUACUAUACACCACUUUCAGAUUAAGAAAUGUGACAGAAACUCCUCAUUUAAAUGAAUUAAUUGAUUUAGACGCAUACAAUCAAAUACCUACGGUUGAUAUUAUUGUGAGUAAAUCAAGCCUCUUGACUGUUACAGUUUGGGAUCAUUUCCUGUUUUAUUUAGUAGUUUCUUGCCUCUUGUCUCCCUGGGUAACUUCACUUCCUGCCUUGUCCUGUCCUCCCCUGUGAUUGUCUGCCGUGUCAUGAUUGUUUCCACCUGUGUCCAAUCACCUGCACCUCCCUAGUGUAUUUAAGCAGUGUGUGUCUGUCGUCACUUGUCGCGUCAUUGUUGAAUGUUCUGGAUGAGCCAUGUUGUUGGAUGGUAACAGUUGGAGGUCCAUGUCUGUGUGUCCCUGUGUUCUGUGUGAGUUUUUGCCCCUUGGCCCUUUUGCUUUUGACUAUUAAAGUCCCUUUUUGUUUGGAAAACUCUGCGUUUGAGUCCUACCUUCCCUGCCUUCUACGCAUCCCGUGACCCUUGAUUUAGUCCAGAGACACUAAUUUGGUCAUAAUGUUCAAACAUUUCCCUGAAAUAGAACUAUAGGCAGAUAGAGACAUUCAGAUUCAACAUCUGGACUGACUGUGAAAGAGAAAAUCACCGUUCCAUGAAAUUGUGCUUAGGAUCUGAAAGACUCGCCUCUACACGGCACGGAAGAGGAGAGCCUUUCAAAGGAAGGCAAAGGAAAGCAAAGGAAACCGUGGGCAACGCCUGGACACCCGUCAUCUCGCAGAGAGGAAGGACUUCCAGAAGGAAGCACCAGGACCGACCUGAGAAGCAAGACCAGCAUCGAUCCAAGAGGACCAGAAGAAAGACUAGGACCAGGGGCGGAUCUACAGGGGGACUGCGGAGGGUGCGCUGGUCCUGCAACCCGACUGGAGAGACUGAGCUGCCCCAGAGCCUCUGAAGGUGAAGUGAGUUUCAUCAGGUGGAGGUGGUGGGUGGAGACUGUGUCCUUAAAUUCCUUACUGUCUGUGGUGAAAGCAUUUUCGGUUGAGACGAACGUGUUACUACAAGUCCAAAGACUUCAGGGAGCAGCAGGAGUCGAAUGUCAACGAUGAGAUCUGUGUGAUCGAUGUAUGAUGUGAGCACCAAAACCUUCACUCAUGGGAAAGGUUUAGGAUGAACUUCACUGACUGAGGAGUUUACUUGGUGAAGACCUUCAGUUCACAUGAUUCAAGACGCCCAAGGGAGGAGAUGAUCUGCAGCGUCCUGGUGAUCUUCAUCCUGACCUCCUGUGUCUGUG
This is a non-coding RNA of Gasterosteus aculeatus aculeatus (three-spined stickleback), 4508 nucleotides long. NCBI's taxonomy places the organism in Eukaryota, Metazoa, Chordata, Actinopteri, Perciformes, Gasterosteidae. The record is from RefSeq and is a predicted model, not a curated record.